AAGCCGUGGUAUGGGCACUCUCUCUGCAGAUCCUUGAACCUUUCCCAUACCUCGAACAAACUCUCAUCUACUUGUUGUCUAAUAGAAAUGAUCUGGCCCCUCAGGCG
Molecule: non-coding RNA, 107 nt
Organism: Spinacia oleracea (spinach)
Lineage: Eukaryota; Viridiplantae; Streptophyta; Magnoliopsida; Caryophyllales; Amaranthaceae
Source: Rfam